This 578-nucleotide ribosomal RNA is filed under the name uncultured Cortinarius. Its description in RNAcentral is "eukaryotic LSU rRNA". The stretch from base 168 to 321 matches the Rfam family "5.8S ribosomal RNA". Lineage: Eukaryota; Fungi; Basidiomycota; Agaricomycetes; Agaricales; Cortinariaceae. The record is from RNAcentral.
UUAUUGAAUAAACCUGAUGGGCUGUUGCUGGUUCUCUAGGGAGCAUGUGCACGCCUUGUCAUUUUUAUGUCUCCACCUGUGCACCUUUUGUAGACCUUUCCAGGUCUAUGUUGCUUCAUUUACCCCUAAUGUAUGUUAAUAGAAUGUUGUGCCUGUAUAAUACAUACAACUUUCAGCAACGGAUCUCUUGGCUCUCGCAUCGAUGAANAACGCAGCGAAAUGCGAUAAGUAAUGUGAAUUGCAGAAUUCAGUGAAUCAUCGAAUCUUUGAACGCACCUUGCGCUCCUUGGUAUUCCGAGGAGCAUGCCUGUUUGAGUGUCAUUAAUAUAUCAAACUUCUCUUCUUUUGUAGAGAGUGGUUUUGGAUGUGGGGGCUUGCUGGGCCUUCUUGAAAAAGUUCAGCUCCCCUGAAAUGCAUUUAGCAGAACAACUUCUGUUCAUUGGUGUGAUAACUAUCUACGCUAUUGAACAUGAGGGGGACAGUUCAGCUUUCUAACCGUCCUUGGACAAAAUUCAUCAUUAAUGUGACCUCAAAUCAGGUAGGACUACCCGCUGAACUUAAGCAUAUCAAUAAGCGGA